GCCAGACUCCUACGGGAGGCAGCAGUGGGGAAUAUUGCGCAAUGGGGGGAACCCUGACGCAGCAACGCCGCGUGCGGGAUGAAGGCCUUCGGGUUGUAAACCGCUUUCAGCAGGGAAGAGACAGACGGUACCUGCAGAAGAAGCCCCGGCUAACUACGUGCCAGCAGCCGCGGUAAUACGUAGGGGGCGAGCGUUAUCCGGAUUCAUUGGGCGUAAAGCGCGCGCAGGCGGACCGUUAAGCGGGACCUCUAAUCCUGGGGCUCAACCUCAGGCCGGGUCCCGAACUGGCGGUCUCGAGUGCGGUAGGGGAGGUCGGAAUUCCCGGUGUAGCGGUGGAAUGCGCAGAUAUCGGGAAGAACACCGAUGGCGAAGGCAGACCUCUGGGCCGACACUGACGCUGAGGCGCGAAAGCUAGGGGAGCGAACAGGAUUAGAUACCCGAGUA
This 444-nucleotide ribosomal RNA is filed under the name uncultured bacterium. RNAcentral's name for it is "bacterial SSU rRNA". It matches the Rfam family "Bacterial small subunit ribosomal RNA", at positions 330 to 792 of the family's 1533-position model. The record is from RNAcentral.